GCAGAACGUUAUUUAGAAAUAAGGAUAACACAUCAUUAGGAAUAAAUCUUCUCAGUAAAUAAUUGUUUAUACGUUGCCUGUGAGCUCCUUGGGAGCAGGUAUUAUUUUUGCCUUUCCUUAUAUUCCCAGUGCUUAGAACAAUGCCUGACAUACAGUAAACACUUAAUAAAUGCUGGUUGACUUGAUCCCAGAAACUAAUAUGAACAGUUAGAAAUGUUUGAUAUAUUGUCAAUUGUUGAUAUUUUGCAUGCUUAGAACCCCUGAAUAACUGUCAGAUGUUCAAGUUAUAGUGGGGGGUGGGGGUGGGGAGGCUUCUCACAAUGGCAAGAAUGUGUUACAUACUUUUAUCAGGUGACAGCGUCUUUUGGAUUGAAUUUCAGAAUCAGUCAGAGGUGAAAAUAAGUGUGAGAACAAUUCCUAGACUCCUAGAUGAAAUCCAUCAAAGAUUCAAACUUGGUUUGAAGAUCUUGGACUGGGGCUGGGACAUGGAACUACAACUUGGACCUGAGACUCUGGAUCUUGGGCUGCUUCUGCUAAGACCACUCCUGGAUCUUCUCCCUUUGGAGCUUCAGCUUGGCAAUCUUUUAUGA
RNAcentral lists this long non-coding RNA (590 nucleotides) under Monodelphis domestica (gray short-tailed opossum). RNAcentral describes it as "lncRNA (ENSMODG00000046071.1)". The record is from RNAcentral. Lineage: Eukaryota; Metazoa; Chordata; Mammalia; Didelphimorphia; Didelphidae.